AGAGUUUGAUCCUUNCUCAGGACGAACGCUGGCGGCGUGCUUCAUACAUGCAAGUCGAGCGGGAUCCAUCCAGUGGCAACACUGGUGAAGAUCUAGCGGCGAACGGGUGAGUAACACGUGAGGAACCUGCCCCAGAGACCGGGAUAACCCUCCGAAAGGAGAGCUAAUACCGGAUGCCCCCAUCGGACCGCAUGGUCUGAUGAGGAAAUGGAUUCCGCUCUGGGAGGGCCUCGCGGCCUAUCAGCUUGUUGGUGAGGUAACGGCUCACCAAGGCACCGACGGGUAGCUGGUCUGAGAGGACGGUCAGCCACACUGGGACUGAGACACGGCCCAGACUCCUACUGGAGGCAGCAGUAGGGAAUCUUGCGCAAUGGGCGAAAGCCUGACGCAGCAUCGCCUCGUGGGGGAUGAAGGCUCUCGGGUUGUAAACCCCUUUCANCAGGGACGAUGAUGACAGUACCUGCUAAUAAGGACCUGCCAACUACGUGCCACCAG
This 495-nucleotide ribosomal RNA is filed under the name uncultured bacterium. RNAcentral describes it as "bacterial SSU rRNA". It matches the Rfam family "Bacterial small subunit ribosomal RNA", at positions 8 to 514 of the family's 1533-position model. The record is from RNAcentral.